This 1453-nucleotide ribosomal RNA is filed under the name uncultured organism. RNAcentral describes it as "SSU rRNA". It matches the Rfam family "Bacterial small subunit ribosomal RNA". The record is from RNAcentral.
CUGGCGGCGUGCCUAAUACAUGCAAGUAGAACGCUGAAGAGAGGAGCUUGCUCUUCUUGGAUGAGUUGCGAACGGGUGAGUAACGCGUAGGUAACCUGCCUUGUAGCGGGGGAUAACUAUUGGAAACGAUAGCUAAUACCGCAUAACAAUGGAUGACACAUGUCAUUUAUUUGAAAGGGGCAAAUGCUCCACUACAAGAUGGACCUGCGUUGUAUUAGCUAGUAGGUGAGGUAACGGCUCACCUAGGCGACGAUACAUAGCCGACCUGAGAGGGUGAUCGGCCACACUGGGACUGAGACACGGCCCAGACUCCUACGGGAGGCAGCAGUAGGGAAUCUUCGGCAAUGGGGGCAACCCUGACCGAGCAACGCCGCGUGAGUGAAGAAGGUUUUCGGAUCGUAAAGCUCUGUUGUAAGUCAAGAACGAGUGUGAGAGUGGAAAGUUCACACUGUGACGGUAGCUUACCAGAAAGGGACGGCUAACUACGUGCCAGCAGCCGCGGUAAUACGUAGGUCCCGAGCGUUGUCCGGAUUUAUUGGGCGUAAAGCGAGCGCAGGCGGUUUGAUAAGUCUGAAGUUAAAGGCUGUGGCUCAACCAUAGUUCGCUUUGGAAACUGUCAAACUUGAGUGCAGAAGGGGAGAGUGGAAUUCCAUGUGUAGCGGUGAAAUGCGUAGAUAUAUGGAGGAACACCGGUGGCGAAAGCGGCUCUCUGGUCUGUAACUGACGCUGAGGCUCGAAAGCGUGGGGAGCGAACAGGAUUAGAUACCCUGGUAGUCCACGCCGUAAACGAUGAGUGCUAGGUGUUGGAUCCUUUCCGGGAUUCAGUGCCGCAGCUAACGCAUUAAGCACUCCGCCUGGGGAGUACGACCGCAAGGUUGAAACUCAAAGGAAUUGACGGGGGCCCGCACAAGCGGUGGAGCAUGUGGUUUAAUUCGAAGCAACGCGAAGAACCUUACCAGGUCUUGACAUCCCGAUGCUAUUUCUAGAGAUAGAAAGUUACUUCGGUACAUCGGUGACAGGUGGUGCAUGGUUGUCGUCAGCUCGUGUCGUGAGAUGUUGGGUUAAGUCCCGCAACGAGCGCAACCCCUAUUGUUAGUUGCCAUCAUUCAGUUGGGCACUCUAGCGAGACUGCCGGUAAUAAACCGGAGGAAGGUGGGGAUGACGUCAAAUCAUCAUGCCCCUUAUGACCUGGGCUACACACGUGCUACAAUGGUUGGUACAACGAGUUGCGAGUCGGUGACGGCAAGCUAAUCUCUUAAAGCCAAUCUCAGUUCGGAUUGUAGGCUGCAACUCGCCUACAUGAAGUCGGAAUCGCUAGUAAUCGCGGAUCAGCACGCCGCGGUGAAUACGUUCCCGGGCCUUGUACACACCGCCCGUCACACCACGAGAGUUUGUAACACCCGAAGUCGGUGAGGUAACCUUUUGGAGCCAGCCGCCUAAGGUGGGAUAGAAA